Long non-coding RNA from Salvelinus namaycush (lake trout), 2632 nucleotides. RefSeq lists it as uncharacterized. The record is from RefSeq and is a predicted model, not a curated record. The transcript has 3 exons. Lineage: Eukaryota; Metazoa; Chordata; Actinopteri; Salmoniformes; Salmonidae.
AGGUGCUGCUGGUGAAAGAGGGGUGUGAGGAGGGUCUGGGAAAGCCUCAGGGGAACAUGGUCAUGGAGGACAACCAGACUACACCUCCUCCUGAACCCACAGAGGAUCCAGCUAAGCAGCACAGGACCACACACAGUCUUACUGAGGAUAGGAAGCCUGAUCUGCUGCUAAUAAAAUAAGACACCAUACAAGAUGGAUCAGAGAGCAUUGAUCUGCUGAGUGGACUAAAGAUGGGGGCGCAAGGUGGUUGGCUGGAGGCUAACAGAGGAGACUGGGCGGCCAUCUUGGAUUCCCAUAGAUGGGGAGGACAUCACUGAGCAUGCCAGGACCAGCGGCGACAUAGUGGAGGUCAGUGGAUUGGACAGUGUCUUCAACUCUGGGCUGGGGAACAACACUGUUAACUGUCGGGGUAGGUUCCUUGUCAAUCAUUGGCUUAUUGGUGAAAUCAGCAGUCAGACAAUACAUUUUUUAAGUAAAUCAAUCAAACCUUUAUUAAUGCAAUUUCAGACAGAAGUUGACAAUGGAAACACAGCAUGUGUGUUUCAGAAUAAGUUCGGCAUCGCACCUAGGGGCGCAGCUGAUUUUAUACAAGUGAUCACUCCCUGGUGGUAUGAUCACCUACGUCAAUGUAUGUAUACAGCAAUAUGCUGAGGUUACCUUAUAAGGUAACCUAGUACACUAGCUUCUCUGAAUUCAUUAGCAUUGUCCACUGUCACACAAGAUCAAAAUGUCAAAACCAGACAGUGGUUACUUCUCUUUAUCUAGUUUCGGUCUGACUCAGACUUAGCCUGCAAGCACACUCUUACAACAGUCUUAACCACAAAUACUAAUAUAGAUGGCUUGUACAACGUAUAGUGGCAGAGUUUUAGGCACAUAACAGUAUCUAUUAUAAGGCCUGCAGCAAAACAUAUGACUCUUAAGGUCGCCUUAAUCAAUAAUGGGGAGGGUCUUUGGGACCCUAACCUCUUCAUAACCACAAUCAGAAACAGACAGUCGAACACAGAACAACAACCAAACUUAGUCUCCGUGACAACAGACUGGCAGAGACGAGGGCAAGGUGUAGAUUUGGUCUACGGGGAGGUGUCCAUAUGCGUUGGGAGAGAACAGACACAGACUUGGCUAGCGAUGCUCCAUCCUGCUAUUAUAGUUGUGAUUCAGAGAGACUGACGCCUCAGGUUAACCCCCUAACAGGUGCUGCCUUCAGCCUGCCUUCUAUAGGAUCUAUCAACUGAACCAUGGAUCCUGCAACAACACAAACACUGCCUGACCUUCGUCCUCCUCUCCUUAUGUUAAACCAGACCUCAGACAAUGUCAGUUCCUCAACACUAAAUCGCUACACAAGCCCAUUGACAAAUGACAGUAGUAGUAACGCUAUCAGCAGAUCUAAUGGCAAAGAGAAGCAUUUCCCCAAACAGGUGGAGAUCCAACAAGAGGAUGCACACGGGGGUUGUACACUUUUGGCUGUACCCAGUGUCAGAUGCGCUUUGCCAAUGCUUGUCACCUGAAGAGACACCAGAGGGUCCACACAGGGGAGAAAUUGUUCAGCUGCCACCUAUGCCGGGUCAGUUUCUCCCACUCGUCCAGCCUGAAGAGGCACCAGAGGGUCCACACGGGAUAUAUCUAUUAGCUGCUCCCAGUGUGACUAAAGGUUCUUCCACCAGCAUCAUCUGAAGAUGUUACUUGAAGGUCCACACGGGAGAGAGGCCGCUCGCCUGUACGCAAUGAGUUUCUCAGAGAGGCGCUAUCUCAGGAAUGACCCGCAGAAAAUGCACAUGGCCCAUGUAUAGAGUAUAGUGACAUGUAAUGUAGUCCUAGUUAGUUAGUUUGUAGUUAAUUCUGUUGGUUUUGGAUGUAGUAGGGAACUGGAUGAGGUGAACUGAGGAAAGAAUGAGUAUGAUGAGGCAGGGUUGAUGGUUGGUGUGAUGGCAUCUGUAAAAAUGCUUCUCUGAUAAAGUGACAACCUUGUCCUGUUUGAUGCCUGUGUUUUAUCAUGUGGAAAUGAUAGUGCCUUAAUUCAUGUUUAUUUGACAUGAAGAUGUGUGUAAUGUUUAACCUUUUCCAAAGUAUUCUCAAAUAAAUGUUCUCAAAGCGAGGGUACCAAAUGUACAGAAAGGCAGAGGCUACGAAUAGAGUUUUCAUCCCCUCUUUCUCAAAUCUAAGGAUCCAAAUCACAUUCUGCGCAUGUGUUAUUUACGCAUGUUCAAGUUUCUCUAUUUACUCACCCUCUUCUGAACCCAAAAGCAAUUUGAUCGAUAUGAUGAUAUAGCCGAUGUCUCUGCUUCAUAUGUCUGAACAGCUGCGAUUUUAAUGAAAGUUCCAAAAAUAUGUAUGAAGGCUACAACCUUCUCUGUCUGGUGUAACUGAUAUUGCUGUAAAAAAUAGUCUCAAACAAGACGGUCUACACAUUGGGACAAAACAAUUAGCGUUUUGUGUGAUGAUAUAAAUCUUUAUAGUUAUGCUGCCAUAUAGCCAGUUUUCUGCCUCCUGUUUAGCCCAUGUUUGCAAUGAUGAUGAAAAUAUAACAUUGCUAGACGACUGUUACAAGAGGCAUAACUAUGUUUUUUCUAACUGUUUUGUGUACAGUUGAAGUCGGAAGUUUACAUACACCUAGGUUGGAGUCAUUAAAUAUCGU